ACUUAAAUUGAAGAGUUUGAUCAUGGCUCAGAUUGAACGCUGGCGGCAGGCCUAACACAUGCAAGUCGAACGGUAGCACAGAGAGCUUGCUCUCGGGUGACGAGUGGCGGACGGGUGAGUAAUGUCUGGGAAACUGCCUGAUGGAGGGGGAUAACUA
This 157-nucleotide ribosomal RNA is filed under the name Salmonella enterica. RNAcentral's name for it is "partial 16S ribosomal RNA". It matches the Rfam family "Bacterial small subunit ribosomal RNA", at positions 1 to 149 of the family's 1533-position model. The record is from RNAcentral. Lineage: Bacteria; Pseudomonadati; Pseudomonadota; Gammaproteobacteria; Enterobacterales; Enterobacteriaceae.